GAUACUUUCCCCCUGCUUAGUUGCCUAUGUGCCGUGAGCGUCUGGAGUUGCUUCUUGUGAAUGGGUUGGUUGGUGGGUUGGGUAUUUUUCGAUCUCCCCUUUAUGAUACUAGUUGGAAAGAAAGUCACUUCUGCUGUAUUAGAUUGACUGGCCUGGAUCAUGUGACGUUCUUUCUUUCUUUCUUUCUUUCUUUCUUUCUUUCUUUCUUUCUUUCUUUCUUUCUUUCUUUCUUUCAUGACAGGCUAGAACUACUGAUGGAUGGGCUAACAGUCCAAAUUCCAAAACAGCCAUCCCAGUUCCUAGAGGAAAGGUCUCUUUCUCUCUUUCUCAUUUUAUUGAAUUGUUACAGUAGUGUUGCUUGUCAAAGUGAAAGUGGCUCUCAUAUGGAAACCCUGACACCUUCCGUGCACACGAAAUGGCCUAACUUCCCAAAAGACUUACCUGGAGUCCGUGAUGAGCCGGAUGAGGGAGAACAAACUGAG
Molecule: long non-coding RNA, 482 nt
Organism: Hemicordylus capensis (graceful crag lizard)
Lineage: Eukaryota; Metazoa; Chordata; Lepidosauria; Squamata; Cordylidae
Exons: 3
Source: RefSeq, a predicted model, not a curated record